RNAcentral lists this ribosomal RNA (254 nucleotides) under uncultured bacterium. Its description in RNAcentral is "partial 16S ribosomal RNA". It matches the Rfam family "Bacterial small subunit ribosomal RNA", at positions 524 to 776 of the family's 1533-position model. The record is from RNAcentral.
UACGAAGGGGGCUAGCGUUGCUCGGAAUCACUGGGCGUAAAGCGCACGUAGGCGGCUUGUUAAGUCAGGGGUGAAAUCCUGGAGCUCAACUCCAGAACUGCCUUUGAUACUGGCAAGCUUGGAGUCCGGGAGAGGUGAGUGGAACUGCGAGUGUAGAGGUGAAAUUCGUAGAUAUUCGCAAGAACACCAGUGGCGAAGGCGGCUCACUGGCCCGGUACUGACGCUGAGGUGCGAAAGCGUGAGGAGCAAACAGG